This 500-nucleotide ribosomal RNA is filed under the name uncultured bacterium. RNAcentral's name for it is "partial 16S ribosomal RNA". It matches the Rfam family "Bacterial small subunit ribosomal RNA", at positions 30 to 523 of the family's 1533-position model. The record is from RNAcentral.
AUUGAACGCUGGCGGCAUGCUUUACACAUGCAAGUCGAACGGUAACAGGGUGCUUGCACCGCUGACGAGUGGCGAACGGGUGAGUAAUGCGUCGGAACGCACCGAGUAAUGGGGGAUAACGCAGCGAAAGCUGUGCUAAUACCGCAUACGCUCUGAGGAGGAAAGCGGGGGACCUUCGGGCCUCGCGUUAUUCGAGCGGCCGACGUCUGAUUAGCUAGUAGGUGAGGUAAGAGCUCACCUAGGCGACGAUCAGUAGCGGGUCUGAGAGGAUGAUCCGCCACACUGGGACUGAGACACGGCCCAGACUCCUGCGGGAGGCAGCAGUGGGGAAUUUUGGACAAUGGGCGCAAGCCUGAUCCAGCCAUGCCGCGUGUCUGAAGAAGGCCUUCGAGUUGUAAAGGACUUUUGUCAGGGAGGAAAUCCUUAGCGCUAAUACCGUUGAGGGAUGACAGUACCUGAAGAAUAAGCACCGGCUAACUACGUGCCAGCCGCCGCGGUAA